This 776-nucleotide ribosomal RNA is filed under the name uncultured Neocallimastigales. RNAcentral's name for it is "partial large subunit ribosomal RNA". It matches the Rfam family "Eukaryotic large subunit ribosomal RNA", at positions 23 to 645 of the family's 3401-position model. The record is from RNAcentral. Lineage: Eukaryota; Fungi; Neocallimastigomycota; Neocallimastigomycetes; Neocallimastigales.
AGAGAUGUGUGAUGACGCAUAUCAAUAAGCGGAGGAAAAGAAACUAACAAGGAUUCCCUUAGUAACGGCGAGUGAAGCGGGAAGAGCUCAAAUUUGAAAUCUUCAAGGUUCUACCUUGACGAAUUGUAGUUUAUAGAAGUGUUUUCUGUUAGUAGAGUGGCAAAAGUUCCUUGGAAUAGGACAUCAUAGAGGGUGAGAAUCCCGUAUUUGGUCAUUCCUUCCUAGCUUUGUGAUACACUUUCAACGAGUCGGAUUGUUUGGGAAUGCAGUCCAAAAUGGGUGGUAAAUUUCAUCUAAAGCUAAAUAUUGGCGAGAGACCGAUAGCGAACAAGUACCGUGAGGGAAAGAUGAAAAGAACUUUGAAAAGAGAGUUAAACAGUACGUGAAAUUGUCAAAAGGGAAGCGUUUGACACCAGUGUUGUUUUUCCGAAAAUCAAUUACGAAUGUUUUAUUUUUGAGAAGUUAUGACUUCAUCGGCUUGCUUCUCUCUUUAUGAAACUUUCUUAAUGCACUUUUCGGUUAACAAGUCAACAUCAAUUUCUUUUGUUGUAAGAGGGUAUGAGGAAGGUGGCUUUCUUUUCGGAGAAAGUGUUUAUAGCCUUGUAGCCUCUGCAAUCGGAGAGAUUGAGGUCUGCAGCGUAGAUCCUUCGGGGUUAGAUACAUUUGUGCUAAGUUAUAGCUUUUCAUAGACAACUUGUUGACUAUGUUAAGUCUUGUACUUACUCGCAUGAUGCUAUUUUACCUACGCUUAGGAUGUUGAAGUCAUCGUAUCGCGC